RNAcentral lists this long non-coding RNA (1832 nucleotides) under Salmo salar (Atlantic salmon). RNAcentral describes it as "lncRNA (ENSSSAG00000113649.1)". The record is from RNAcentral. Lineage: Eukaryota; Metazoa; Chordata; Actinopteri; Salmoniformes; Salmonidae.
GUGUGUGUGUGUGUGUGUGUGUGUGUGUGUGUGUGUGUGUGAGAGAGAGAACUGUACGAGCUAUAGUAGCUAGCUAAUUUAGCAACUACUGUACUUGUGUAGUUAGCAAAUUGUGUGUGGUUGUGUGAGAAGAGAGAGCUCACACACACAGGGAGAGGAGAGAGCGUGAGAGAAAGGAAUGAGCACUGUGGGUGUGUGUGUAAGAACUGUACGAGCUAUAGUAGCUAGCUAAUUUAGCAACUACUGUACUUGUGUAGUUAGCAAAUUGUGUGUGGUUGUGUGAGGAGAGAGCUCACACACACAGGGAGAGGAGAGAGCGUGAGAGAAAGGAAUGAGCACUGUGUGUGUGUGAGAUAGAGAGAGAGGAGGGAAAGGGGGUGUGUGUGUGUGUGUGUGUGUGUGUGUGUGUGUGUGUGUGUGUGAGAUAGAGAGGAGGGAAAGGUGUGUGUGUGUGUGUGUGUGUGUGUGUGUGUGUGUGUGUGUGUGUGUGUGUGUGAGAUAGAGAGGAGGGAAAGGUGUGUGUGUGUGUGUGUGUGUGUGUGUGUGUGUGUGUGUGUGUGUGUGUGUGUGUGUGUUUGGAGAGAGGGAGAGUGUGUGUGUGUGAGAGAGAGAGGGGGGGAGUGUGUGUAUGGCAAGGGGGAGUGGUGUGUGUUGGAGAGGCGGAGAGUGUGUGUUGGAGAGGAGGAGAGUGUGUGCGUGACAGACACAGUAUGUGUGUGUGAGAGGGAGGGGGUGCGUGUUGUGUGGAGAGACUGUGUGACAAAGAGAACAAGAGUGUGUGUGAGAGGAAUGAGCACAGAGAGUGUGUGUGUGUGUGUGUGUGUGUGUGUGUGUGUGUGUGUGUGUGUGUGUGUGUGUGUGUGUGUGUGUGUGUGUGUGUGUGUGUGUGUGUGUGUGUGUGUGGUAGAGAGAGGGGGUGUGGUGUGUGUGCUAGAGGGGGUGGCAUGUGUGGAUGAAUGUGUGUGUGAGAGAAAGGAGGGGAGGAGUUGUGUGUGUGUGUGUGUGUGUGUGGGGAGGAAGAGGGGAGGAGUUGUAUGUGUGUGUAAGGGAGAGAAAGGGGGAAAGUGAAACGGUGUGUUUUUCAGAGAUUGUGUGAGAGAAAGUGUUGGGGGAGAGCAGCAGUGAGGAAAAGGGGAGAGAAAAAAGAAAUAAGGUGUGUUUUUAGGGAGAGUGUGUGUGAGGAGAGAGCUGUGAGAGAGACUGUGAAGGACGUGUGUGUACGUGAGGGUGAGCAUAUUUGUGUAAUAAAGGGGGAGUGUGUGUGAGGGAGGGAGGGAUAGAGGGGAAGUGUGUGAGAGAGGUACACCGAAGGGGAGGGAAGAGUGUGUUUGUGCAUACAUGUGUGUUGCUUAGUGGGGGAGGGUGUAUGAGUUGUUUGUGGUGUGUGUGUGUGUGUGUGUGUGUGUGUGUGUGUGUGUGUGUGUGUGUGUGUUAGAGAGAGGAGUGGUCUGUGUGUGAGGGACUAGUGUGUUUAUGUGUAACCAAGAAAUGUGUGGGGGUGUGUGUGUUUGUAGAAGGGAUAAAGCAAAGGGGAUGAUUGUGUGUGAGAGAGAGAGAGAGAAUGUGUUUCUGACUUUCCAUUAGUGUGUUGUCUUCUAAGUAGAAAGAAUAGUUUAGUAAGAGACUAACAUUUUGUGGUAUCAUAUUUUGUGUGUGUGAGAGAUUUGAGUUUUUGUUUAGUGAUUUUAAACUGACAGUGAAGACUAGUGAAGAAAAGUGUGUGUGUCUGUCUUUAAGAAAUGGAACAGGGCAGUGUGUUUGCUUGUGUGUAAGAGACAGGAAAGGAGAGUAUUUAUGCAUCUACUUUGUUUAUGAAAGAGGGAAGGACAGUG